ACGAACGCUGGCGGCGUGCUUCACACAUGCAAGUCGAACGGAAAGGCCCUGCUUUUGUGGGGUGCUCGAGUGGCGAACGGGUGAGUAACACGUGAGUAACCUGCCCUUGGCUUUGGGAUAACUUCAGGAAACUGGGGCUAAUACCGGAUAGGAGCUCCUGCUGCAUGGUGGGGGUUGGAAAGUUUCGGCGGUUGGGGAUGGACUCGCGGCUUAUCAGCUUGUUGGUGGGGUAGUGGCUUACCAAGGCUUUGACGGGUAGCCGGCCUGAGAGGGUGACCGGCGACAUUGGGACAGAGAGAAGGCCCAGAGUCAUGCGGGAGGCAGGAGGGGGGAAGGGUGCGCACUGUGCGGGGGCCGGAAGCAGCAGCGCCGGGUGCGGGAUGGGGGGGGGCGGUGUGUAAACAGGAUUCGCCUGUUACGAAGCGGGAGGGACGGUAAGGGGUAAAGAGGCACCGGCUAGCUACGUG
Molecule: ribosomal RNA, 467 nt
Filed under: uncultured bacterium
Lineage: Bacteria
Description: partial 16S ribosomal RNA
Rfam family: Bacterial small subunit ribosomal RNA
Source: RNAcentral